GUGGUCAAGCCCCGAAGGGCACGGGGGGGAUGCCUAGGCGUCGCCGGCAAGCUGGGCGUGGCAGGCUGCGAUAAGCUCGGGGGAGGGGCCGAACGCCCGUCGAUCCCGAGAUGCCCAGAUGCGACCCGGGGAACUGAAACAUCUCAGUACCCGGAGGAACGGAAAGCAACCGCGACUCCCUCAGUAGCGGCGAGCGAACGGGGACCAGCCUAAACCGUCCGGGACACCGGGCGGGGUCGUGGGGCCACUCAUGGGAUUUCGGUCCGACGGAGUCACAAAGACAGGAUGCAACCGAAGCCGCCUGGAACGGCGCACCACAGGGGGUGAAAGUCCCGUAGGUGACGGAUUCUGUCCUCCGAGAGUGGUACCCGAGUAGGGUCGGGCACGUGAAACCCGGCCUGAAUCGGCGGGGACCAUCCCGCAAGGCUAAGUACCGGGCGACGACCGAUAGUGAACCCAGUAGGGCGACCGAAUGGUGGGAAGAACCCCGACCAGGGGAGGACACUGAACCUGAAACCCCGUGCCUACAAGCGGUGGGAGGGCGACGAGCACUGCUCCGCCUGACCGCGUGCCUUUUGCAUAAUGAUCCGGCGAGUUCUGGUAUCCGGCCGGUUAACCCC
This 620-nucleotide ribosomal RNA is filed under the name Tautonia sociabilis. Its description in RNAcentral is "Isosphaeraceae bacterium GM2012 partial 23S ribosomal RNA". It matches the Rfam family "Bacterial large subunit ribosomal RNA", at positions 1 to 653 of the family's 2925-position model. The record is from RNAcentral. Lineage: Bacteria; Pseudomonadati; Planctomycetota; Planctomycetia; Isosphaerales; Isosphaeraceae.